GAAAUGCGAUAAGUAAUGUGAAUUGCAGAAUUCAGUGAAUCAUCGAAUCUUUGAACGCACAUUGCGCCCGCUAGCACUCUAGCGGGCAUGCCUGUCCGAGCGUCAUUUCAACCCUCAGGCCCUAUGCUGCCUGGCGUUGGGGCAUCUACGGCACACGUAGGCCCUGAAAUUUAGUGGCGGUGCUCGCCAGCACUCCGGGCGCAGUAGUUUAUCCUCGCCCUGGACGUCUGGCGGCCUACCGGCCGUUAAACCCCCCAAAUAUACCACAGGUUGACCUCGGAUCAGGUAGGAAUACCCGCUGAACUUAA
This 308-nucleotide unclassified non-coding RNA is filed under the name uncultured Rhodoveronaea. RNAcentral's name for it is "sequence contains ITS1". The stretch from base 1 to 105 matches the Rfam family "5.8S ribosomal RNA", at positions 50 to 154 of the family's 154-position model. The record is from RNAcentral. Lineage: Eukaryota; Fungi; Ascomycota; Sordariomycetes.